UACGUAGGGUGCGAGCGUUAAUCGGAAUUACUGGGCGUAAAGCGUGCGCAGGCGGUUGUGCAAGACAGAGGUGAAAUCCCCGGGCUUAACCUGGGAAUGGCCUUUGUGACUGCACGGCUAGAGUGUGUCAGAGGGGGGUAGAAUUCCACGUGUAGCAGUGAAAUGCGUAGAGAUGUGGAGGAAUACCGAUGGCGAAGGCAGCCCCCUGGGAUAACACUGACGCUCAUGCACGAAAGCGUGGGGAGCAAACAGGAUUAGAUACCCUGGUAGUCCACGCCCUAAACGAUGUCAACUAGUUGUCGGGGAUUAAUUUUCUUGGUAACGCAGCUAACGCGUGAAGUUGACCGCCUGGGGAGUACGGUCGCAAGAUUAAA
RNAcentral lists this ribosomal RNA (374 nucleotides) under uncultured bacterium. Its description in RNAcentral is "bacterial SSU rRNA". It matches the Rfam family "Bacterial small subunit ribosomal RNA", at positions 524 to 898 of the family's 1533-position model. The record is from RNAcentral.